Molecule: long non-coding RNA, 459 nt
Filed under: Danio rerio (zebrafish)
Lineage: Eukaryota; Metazoa; Chordata; Actinopteri; Cypriniformes; Danionidae
Description: lncRNA si:zfos-2566f7.2 (ENSDARG00000099107.2)
Source: RNAcentral
AUAAAAGAUUAGUAACUAAUACUGUAUAAAAUAUAGAUCAAGUUAAAGGAUAAUGGGAAGUAGAACUAAAUACCAUAAUUGAGGAUGAGGUCUGAGUUAUGUGAAGGAUGUCAUUAAAGAAUCAAUAGUCAACUAUGGAAAGAAAAAUGAGGUACACUUUAAAACCAAUCUACUUUAAUACUCCUGUAAUUUCUACAAAUGUAAAAGGACCAUCUGUUGCUUUGUGUUGGAGAAAAUGUGGUAAAACUGGAGAUCAUACCUGCAUAUUUGGGACUUUGGGAUUUAAGAUUUUGGAAAAAAUGUCCAAAAAGAAAUGCAUGGUCGAAAGUUCUCCAUAGGUGGCUUAAACAGGUCUAUGUAAUGGAAAAAAUGACUGAAUGUCUACAAAUGAAGACUGAAUUUUUUCUGAAGAGGUGGAAAAGUAUUACAGCAUAUUUAGAUAUGUAUAUUUAGAGGUUA